AUGACCCCUCCAUGUGGUUUAGGGAAAGCUUUUAAAUAAAUUAUUCAGAUCUUUGAAAUGCUUGUCCUUUUCUUUACCUUAGCUUUUGUUCUACUCACAUGGAGCAGGCCUAUGAAAAAAGCAUUUUACAUUGCAAAAGUAAACAUACAAGAAUAACUGUUCGUUUCUGAACAUCACAUGCCAAAGAGAAGUGGCCAGCAACAUCGUUCAUGCACGUAUAUAUAAAUUACAUCCUCAAAGAGGCUUCAGGGAAACAAAAGAAACACCAGGAGGGAACAGAUACAUCAUCAUCACCAUCACCUUGUAUUACCUUCAAAGUGUGUGACAUCAUCAUCGUGUUAUUUGGUACAACCAUUAAUUAAGACAUUGAAGUCACAGAAGAAAUGACAGAGUAGAAAUUUGAAAGCAAUGAAGAAGCUUAAUGUUAGAGUUAACGGGGACAAAGAUUUGUAAUCCUGAUCAGCACGACGUUAUUACCCACCCAAAAUUUACGAGGAUGAUAAAAAUAAACGAAAAUCAUUACGCAAUCUAUUCUUUAAUCCAUGUUCUUAAAGGUACUCUAAACUUGGCUUUAAUAUAUAGUUAGUGUAGUGAUAAAGCAGAAUGUGAUGGGUACUUAUUUUAAGUAACGACAAUUGAUUUGAGGCACCGUUGUAUGCCACAAACUAAGCACUAAUUAUUUGAUGCUUUGAGGAUG
Long non-coding RNA from Vigna angularis (adzuki bean), 697 nucleotides. RefSeq lists it as uncharacterized. The transcript is spliced from 3 exons. NCBI's taxonomy places the organism in Eukaryota, Viridiplantae, Streptophyta, Magnoliopsida, Fabales, Fabaceae. The record is from RefSeq and is a predicted model, not a curated record.